UACAGAGGUCUCAAGCGUUGUUCGGAUUUACUGGGCGUAAAGGGCGCGUAGGCGGCCACCGCAAGUCGGUUGUGAAAUCUCUGGGCUUAACCCAGAAAGGUCAACCGAUACUGCGGGGCUAGAGUACGGUAGAGGGGGAUGGAAUUCCGCGUGUAGCAGUGAAAUGCGUAGAUAUGCGGAGGAACACCGAUGGCGAAGGCAAUCCCCUGGACCUGUACUGACGCUCAUGCACGAAAGCGUGGGGAGCAAACAGG
This 254-nucleotide ribosomal RNA is filed under the name uncultured bacterium. RNAcentral's name for it is "partial 16S ribosomal RNA". It matches the Rfam family "Bacterial small subunit ribosomal RNA", at positions 524 to 776 of the family's 1533-position model. The record is from RNAcentral.